UCAUGUGGCCCUUUUCUCUGCCCCUUGCAGCAAACAAAGAAGAGUGGGAAUAAGAGGCACAGGUGAUGCUGGGCAUGCAGAAAGUCCUGCAGAGUUUAGGAGAGGCAAAGGAAAAGCUCAGGCAAGCAGCUGACCGGCCGCGGGAGCAGGAGGAGGAGACGUGACCGUGGCAGAGCAGGCAUCAGAGCCCACACAUCUGGAACUGUCCCAGGAGACUCCAGAAAUCACCCUGCAGAUCGCUUUUCAUCUUCCUGCCAUGGAAGCUUCAGACAAUCCCUUCCAAGUUUCCUUCUUCUAUCAGAGUGCUGAGAACACACUGUUCGCCGGGAGAGUCUUUGGCAUGUGUGGGGAGCUCUCUUCUGCUGCUGACCUGCUGCCUGGCCCACACUGCUGCCGAGGGCCUCUACCAAGACUCUAAUGCUGCCUUUCUGAGGUCAUUUUACAAGGCCUAUUUCAGGGAAGCAUUUUCUAUCACACUGCAAAUGUCAGCAGCUGCCCAGGACAGGAGGCCUGACCAAAACGUGAGCACCACACUGCUGGGAGAGCGGUGCAUCUCUGCAAGAGAACAAGGCCCUUGUGGCUCCUUGAAAGGGAGUGUGAGUCUCACUUGAUGUCAGAAUCACCGCAAGAGUAUAUUAAGAAAAGCAAAGAUCUCCUCUUCACUAAUAUGGAACUUUUCCUGAAAAGCAUCCUCACCACAGAGCAAUAAAUCCCAGGAAAACCAAGAGAUCAGCUUGUGGGUGAAGAUAAAAUCUAGAAAGAAAAUGGUGAUUUCAUUUCAGUCUGCAUGAUUAAAAGUCCAAGAAAUUGUACAUGUGACCAACACCAACAGAGAAAGUCACUAAGUGAAAUCCAAAAUAACAUCAUUAUGGAAUCGUACGUACAGUCUUUUCAGAGUAGGAAAAAAUAAAGUGCAGAGAAGAACUGGGACACGCUUUACCUGGUAAACACUCUUUGGGUUGCUGACUUUGGGAAUCAUC
This is a long non-coding RNA of Manis pentadactyla (Chinese pangolin), 980 nucleotides long. RefSeq lists it as uncharacterized. The transcript is spliced from 8 exons. The record is from RefSeq and is a predicted model, not a curated record. Lineage: Eukaryota; Metazoa; Chordata; Mammalia; Pholidota; Manidae.